AAGCGCUUGCAAUCAGACUUGCUCGCGGUUGAUCAGCCGGGGUUCUCCCCGGUGCACUCUGCCGCGGUCAGGCCAGCAUCAGUUCGGGCGGACGGAUAAAGGCCGCGGGAAUGUAGCUCCCUUCGGGGAGUGUUAUAGCCCGCGGUGUCAUGCGUCCAGCCUGGACUGAGGACCGCGCUUCGGCUAGGAUGCUGGCGUAAUGGUUGUAAGCGA
RNAcentral lists this ribosomal RNA (213 nucleotides) under Xylonaceae sp. RNAcentral describes it as "partial large subunit ribosomal RNA". The record is from RNAcentral. Lineage: Eukaryota; Fungi; Ascomycota; Xylonomycetes; Xylonales; Xylonaceae.